UACCUAUAACUGUUGCUUCGGCGGGUAGGGUCUCCGUGACCCUCCCGGCCUCCCGCCCCCCCGGGCGGGCCGGCGCCCGCCGGAGGAUAACCAAACUCUGAUUUAACGACGUUUCUUCUGAGUGGUACAAGCAAAUAAUCAAAACUUUUAACAACGGAUCUCUUGGUUCUGGCAUCGAUGAAGAACGCAGCGAAAUGCGAUAAGUAAUGUGAAUUGCAGAAUUCAGUGAAUCAUCGAAUCUUUGAACGCACAUUGCGCCCGCCAGCAUUCUGGCGGGCAUGCCUGUUCGAGCGUCAUUUCAACCCUCAAGCUCUGCUUGGUGUUGGGGCCCUACAGCCGAUGUAGGCCCUCAAAGGUAGUGGCGGACCCUCCCGGAGCCUCCUUUGCGUAGUAACUUUACGUCUCGCACUGGGAUCCGGAGGGACUCUUGCCGUAAAACCCCCCAAUUUUCCAAAGGUUGACCUCGGAUCAGGUAGGAAUACCCGCUGAACUUA
RNAcentral lists this ribosomal RNA (494 nucleotides) under Colletotrichum gloeosporioides. Its description in RNAcentral is "eukaryotic LSU rRNA". The stretch from base 143 to 296 matches the Rfam family "5.8S ribosomal RNA". Lineage: Eukaryota; Fungi; Ascomycota; Sordariomycetes; Glomerellales; Glomerellaceae. The record is from RNAcentral.